CUUUAAAAUAUCAACAGCCGACUUGUAAUUCGCCGCAAUCAACGAAAAUUCGUUGAUUGCGGCGAAUUACAAGUCGGCUGUUGAUAUUUUAAAG
Non-coding RNA from Paramuricea clavata, 94 nucleotides. The record is from the annotation of a GenBank genome assembly. NCBI's taxonomy places the organism in Eukaryota, Metazoa, Cnidaria, Anthozoa, Malacalcyonacea, Plexauridae.